This 495-nucleotide ribosomal RNA is filed under the name uncultured bacterium. RNAcentral's name for it is "partial 16S ribosomal RNA". It matches the Rfam family "Bacterial small subunit ribosomal RNA", at positions 28 to 507 of the family's 1533-position model. The record is from RNAcentral.
GACGAACGCUGGCGGCGUGCCUAAUACAUGCCAGUAGAACGCUGAAGGAGGAGCUUGCUUCUCUGGAUGAGUUGCGAACGGGUGAGUAACGCGUAGGUAACCUGCCUGGUAGCGGGGGAUAACUAUUGGAAACGAUAGCUAAUACCGCAUAAGAGUAGAUGUUGCAUGACAUUUGCUUAAAAGGUGCAAUUGCAUCACUACCAGAUGGACCUGCGUUGUAUUAGCUAGUUGGUGGGGUAACGGCUCACCAAGGCGACGAUACAUAGCCGACCUGAGAGGGUGAUCGGCCACACUGGGACUGAGACACGGCCCAGACUCCUACGGGAGGCAGCAGUAGGGAAUCUUCGGCAAUGGACGGAAGUCAGACCGAGCAACGCCGCGUGAGUGAAGAAGGUUUUCGGAUCGUAAAGCUCUGUUGUAAGAGAAGAACGAGUGUGAGAGUGGAAAGUUCACACUGUGACGGUAUCUUACCAGAAAGGGACGGCUAACUACGUG